GCCCUUGUAGCUCAGUAGGCAGAGCACAUUCUUGGUAAGAAUGAGGUCUCGAGUUCGAAUCUCGACAAGGGCU
This 73-nucleotide transfer RNA is filed under the name Chloroflexota bacterium. RNAcentral describes it as "Chloroflexi bacterium (wastewater metagenome) tRNA-Thr". It matches the Rfam family "tRNA". Rfam says of the family: Transfer RNA (tRNA) molecules are approximately 80 nucleotides in length. Their secondary structure includes four short double-helical elements and three loops (D, anti-codon, and T loops). Lineage: Bacteria; Bacillati; Chloroflexota. The record is from RNAcentral. RNAcentral also lists the same sequence under 1 other name.